This 376-nucleotide ribosomal RNA is filed under the name uncultured bacterium. RNAcentral's name for it is "bacterial SSU rRNA". It matches the Rfam family "Bacterial small subunit ribosomal RNA", at positions 32 to 399 of the family's 1533-position model. The record is from RNAcentral.
AAUCAACGCUGGCGGCGUGCCUCAGACAUACAAGUCGAACGAUUAAAGCUCUCUUCGGAGAGUGUAUAGAGUGGCGCACGGGUGAGUAACACGUAAGUAAUCUACCUUUGAGUGGGAAUAACGUCCGGAAACGGACGCUAAUACCGCAUAAUGCAGCGGCAUCGCAAAGAUGACAGUUGUUAAAGAUUUAUCGGCCUUGAAGAGGAGCUUGCGGCAGGAUUAGCUAGUUGGUAAGGUAAUGGCUUACCAAGGCUACGAUCUGUAACCGGUCUAAGAGGACGGUCGUCACACUGACACUGAACAACGGGUCAGACUCCUACGGGAGGCAGCAGUCGGGAAUUUGGGCAAUGGGCGAAAGCCUGACCCAGCAACGCCG